This is a long non-coding RNA of Jatropha curcas, 785 nucleotides long. RefSeq lists it as uncharacterized. The record is from RefSeq and is a predicted model, not a curated record. NCBI's taxonomy places the organism in Eukaryota, Viridiplantae, Streptophyta, Magnoliopsida, Malpighiales, Euphorbiaceae.
UUGACAGUGGACACUCUGUUUUAAGAUGACCCGAAGUGGAUAGACCAAACCACACCAAAAAGGGCAUCAAUAAUGACGCUGACCCAAACCAAUUGACCGAUUUGACCCAAACCAAUUGACCCAUUUGACCCAAACCGAGAAAGUGCCAAGUCCAGCCAAUGCAUGGGUAAACGUAACAGUUGGCCAUGUGAUCGAAAUAGAAACAAAAUAAAAUAAAAUAUAAGCUAUGGCUAUGGCUAUUCAGAGUUGAACAAGAAAGUGAAAAUUCAAGUACCGAGAAAAUGGGCAAGUCCUUCAAGUCCAACAGGAUCGCUGAAGUAACCAACGCCAACAUCCAUUGAAGCAGAACACUGAACAAAAUUUAACCGCAGUACCUUAUCGGUAUCGGGAUCGCUAAUGAGGAGAACCUCAAGCGAGUUUUUAAGGACGAUCCGCCGAUACUCUCUCUUAUCAUUACGCGGCUUCACUAUCUCCACUUCCUCCACCGCCAUUUCAGCUGUUGCUUUGCAGAGAGGGAAACGCGGGACGGGAAAUUAAUAAGAGUAAGUAAACGCGAGUCUUUGCUCUCUGAUCUUAGAUUAUGGUGAUUUAUAAAAGUAUCAGGCAGCAUUGUGGAAGUCAAUCGGAGACUAAGAACAACGACGUUGACUAGGAGGAACUGGACAAAGGGAAGAUGACUCGACUGGUUUGUUUACAUGUUUGUAAUUAAAAUAAUGAUUUUGUGAUUUUUGAAUUUUUUUUUGAAGAAGAUUUUAUAAAUUUAGUUAAUAGUACGUAAUUAUCUA